CCCGCGUAUCCUAACGGGCUUUGCGGUGGGUAUUUUUUAUAACUUAAUUUAGGAGUUUAUAGUGGCCCGUAUAGCUGGUAUUAACGUUCCUGAU
Molecule: small RNA, 94 nt
Filed under: human gut metagenome
Description: Alpha operon ribosome binding site
Rfam family: Alpha operon ribosome binding site
About the family: The bacterial alpha operon ribosome binding site is surrounded by this complex pseudoknotted structure.
Source: RNAcentral